This 1729-nucleotide unclassified non-coding RNA is filed under the name Leishmania donovani. RNAcentral describes it as "gene:LdHU3.35.0390(CDS-product:hypothetical_prote in_conserved)". The record is from RNAcentral. Lineage: Eukaryota; Euglenozoa; Kinetoplastea; Trypanosomatida; Trypanosomatidae.
CCGUCCGGCGGAUUGUGUGGCUCCCACGUAGCGCCACGUGUGUUGUCAAAGACGCGAACACCUCGUCUCAUCUUCACUGUGAAGGGCUGCCUUUGCGCCUCGCCCCACUCGAGAACGGCUGUGAAGCUCAUUCUAACUCUCUUCCACUCUUACCCUCAAGCAGGCCGGCGCUGAGCGAGUUUAUUGUUCCUCACGAAUGCCCGCCACCACGAUGGUCGCCGAUCCACUCUCGCAGAUCGUGUCGCAGGUGAUCGACGACGUGAGUUUCUCCCAGACACAUACAGUCAGCGAUGACUUCAGGGUGUACCCAAAGUCGUCUAUCGACAGCGUUAACACGCUUCAGCAGGAGCAGCGAAAGCGCGUGGAGCAGACGUAUGGCGCACGCGCACCAUCCCCUGAUUUUCUGGGAUCUCAGCUGCUGGCGGAGUACCGCGGCGAGGCGGCUUCGUUGCAGCUCGCUAAAGAGUCCGGGGACCCCAACUUCCCUACCUCUAUUUCACGCAUGACGGGCGAGCAGAGCAAGCAGUUCAAGAAGGACAUGAAACAGCGCAUCCACGAGUGGGAGGCAACGGUACGAGAUGCAACAGGGCAGACAGAAGUCUACCCGGACCAGAAGGCCUCGUUGCGCUCCAUCUAUGAACUCUACCGCGCCACCAAGAUGAAGGUGCUGGGGGUGGAGCCCUCUCCGGGCACGCACGCAGCAACAGCGGAAACGUCCGCUACAGGCAGCCGGGAUGUGUCGCAAAGCGUCGCUGCACAUGCUGCGGGUGCAUCGUCGGCGCCAGCUUCUGCAGUUGGUGGGGCCAGGUCGGAGAGCACUCGACUGAGCACAUCAGGUGCCAAGGACACUACUGCAGGCUUUACCAAAGCGCUGCCGGGCUCAGCCGCCGCUGCUGGCGGCGAGGCUCGCGCAGCGUCGAGCGGCGCCGCAGCGCCUGGAAUGGCUAGCAGCGGCGCUGACUGGAUUAAGCGCAUUGAGCGGGUGCCGCUGGGCACGGAGGACGUGUCGAAGAUGGCUGAGGACGCGUUGCAGACGGAGAAGCGCCGCUUGAAGCAGGUACUGCACCGCUUCGAAAGCGACUUCGAGAAGUACAACGGCGUGCGCCCAGGCCGGCAUGACCGCCAAGGCUUCACGGCAGAGUACCACCGCUACGGCGAGCUGAAGAACGAGCUUAUGCGCCGUUCCCAGAAGUAGAGAUGUAGGGUUAGAGUGCAGCUUUACUGGCACGUGCGCGCCAAGCUCUCCACAACCCCGCUGCCAAGCGUUAAGCAUCGGCGCAGAGGCAACGGGAGACGGGGGCGGUCGGUUUUACAAAAAGGCGUCGAUGAAGUCGGAAAACAAGCAGAGGGAUCUAGAGGGUAGAGGCGGGAGAGGUAAGCAGCGAGCACACUUGCACGCCUGUAUUUAGAGGGAUUGAGAGGGGCAGCGGUGAACUGCGCAGGCUACCCAUCGCACUCGUCUCUGCGGCUGUGCCUAAGUGUUCUGCGCCUUUCUGUGCCUGCCGCUAUGCUUAUUUGGCUGCUCUCUCCCUUCGGUUUCCUUUCACCCGCCAACUCCCACCUCCCGCAGCGGAAUCUUUUGAUAUGAGUGUUGUUGUGUUUCCGCACCGCGGCCGCCUCUCCCCUUCUCCCGGCGGCCUCCCCUCCGCUACGCCCGUCUCCUCUUUGCUGCCUCUUUUCUGCAUCAUCUUGUGCGACAAGGCGUGUGCACGUCUGCUGUGCACUCGAU